This 249-nucleotide long non-coding RNA is filed under the name Setaria italica (foxtail millet). RNAcentral's name for it is "long non-coding RNA (SITA_LNC003080)". Lineage: Eukaryota; Viridiplantae; Streptophyta; Magnoliopsida; Poales; Poaceae. The record is from RNAcentral.
UCGCCGACACCCCCACCAGCUUCGCCGCCACCUCGCGAAGGUCAGGCGCUCGCUUGUCGCCGCCUCCAAGCCCCAACACCGCCGGAACCCCUGCCGUCCAACACCAUCCCUACCGCUCGCCAUCCACCGCCGUUCCGACCCCGCUCGAUGUUCUCCGCCCUCCCAACCACUGCCAAUCAACUUCCGGUGAGCUCCUCCGUCUUCCCCGCAAGUUCUUGCCCGGGAUUGGCCGGCACCUCACCGAAAUUU